RNAcentral lists this ribosomal RNA (467 nucleotides) under uncultured bacterium. Its description in RNAcentral is "partial 16S ribosomal RNA". It matches the Rfam family "Bacterial small subunit ribosomal RNA", at positions 28 to 507 of the family's 1533-position model. The record is from RNAcentral.
GACGAACGCUGGCGGCGUGCUUAACACAUGCAAGUCGAACGGAAAGUCCUCUUUCGGGGGGUCCUCGAGUGGCGAACGGGUGAGUAACACGUUUGUAUCCUGCCCUUCUCUUUGGGAUAACUUCUGGUAACUGGUGCUAUUACCGGAUAGGAGCUCCUUCUGCAUGGUGUGGGUUGGAAAGUUUCUGCGUUUGGGGUUGGACUCGCGGCUUAUCAGCUUGUUGGUGGUGUAUUGGCUUACCAAGGCUUUGACGGGUAGCCGGCCUGGGAGGGUGACCGGCCACAUUGAGACUGAGAUAAGGACAAGACGCAGACGGGAGGGAGAAGUGGGGAAGAUUGAAAAAUGGGUGGAAGCGAGAUGCAGAAACGCCGAGUGCGGGAUGACGGACUUGGGGUUGUAAAACGAAUGCGCUAAUAACGAAGAUUAGAGUGACGGUAGUGGGAAAAGAAGCACCGGCUAACUACGUG